UACGAAGGGGGCUAGCGUUGUGCGGAAUUACUGGGCGUAAAGCGCACGUAGGCGGCUAUUUAAGUCAGGGGGGAAAUCCCGCAGCUCAACUGCGGAACUGCCUUUGAUACUGGGUAUCUUGAGUAUGGAAGAGGUAAGUGGAAUUGCGAGUGUAGAGGUGAAAUUCGUAGAUAUUCGCAGGAACACCAGUGGCGAAGGCGGCUUACUGGUCCAUUACUGACGCUGAGGUGCGAAAGCGUGGGGAGCAAACAGG
Molecule: ribosomal RNA, 253 nt
Filed under: uncultured bacterium
Lineage: Bacteria
Description: partial 16S ribosomal RNA
Rfam family: Bacterial small subunit ribosomal RNA
Source: RNAcentral